This 22-nucleotide microRNA is filed under the name Heligmosomoides polygyrus. Its description in RNAcentral is "hpo-miR-10115-5p". The record is from miRBase by way of RNAcentral. Lineage: Eukaryota; Metazoa; Nematoda; Chromadorea; Rhabditida; Heligmosomidae.
AGGUGUACGAGGUAGAUCCACA